AGUUGCAGAUACAGAGUAGUAUGGAUGCUUGAAUGAUUUCAAAUGCCUGCUUUAGGCACUUGCAGAAUUAUUCUAUAUAUGUUUGCAAUCAUGGUCUUGUACUGAUGAGUACAAUUGCAUCUUUCUAGGGUCUCCAGUCCUUUGGGUUGCAAGAAAAUUAUCUGAUGAUUAGCAUUUUGACAAGGCUGAGGGGUUUCACAAACGAAUCAUCCUACCAGAACUGCAUUAUUCAAUCUGGUCCAGUUUUUGGACAUCAUAUCAAUACUUUGUGAUCCAUUGAUAACCCUGUAUCACUUUAUCUCAAUAAACUAGAUCCAUUUGCUUUGAUAUCACAGAAAAUGUAAUAGUUAAUUAACAUUUUAUAAUUUUCUAUUUUUGUUAAUAUUGAUGGAGUGUAUAUUUUGGACAAAAUCAUAGAA
This 419-nucleotide unclassified non-coding RNA is filed under the name Hevea brasiliensis (rubber tree). Lineage: Eukaryota; Viridiplantae; Streptophyta; Magnoliopsida; Malpighiales; Euphorbiaceae. The record is from RNAcentral.